GUUGAACUUGAGUUCGUGGCGUGUUUGAACUUGAGUUUGUGUUCUUUUUGAACUUGAGGUUGUGGAAAUUGUUAAACUCGCCCUCCUCGAGCCAUCAUGAAGGCGGAGGUGGCGGGGGUAGAGCAGCAAUGAACAAACCCCCCUGGAACAGGAGCGCUUCAAGGACAGUGGAGCAAUUAGCUGGCACGAGGGUGGAGCUGGUGUGGCAGUGUGUUGCUGGUUUGCUGUCAGAGCAGAGGAAGAGGCUGGGUUAGUGCAGUUUUAAAUAAGGCACUCUAUAGGCAAAGAACCAAUAGGAUCUAGGUGUGAAUCAGCUGAUUAUCAUCUGGUUGAGGUGGCUACUAGCCAUUGGCUGUGGAUCAGCGCUUGACGUUGUGUCCUGACAGAACUAACGCUAUGCUUCAUUUCAGUCAGGUACACUUUGUCCAAAUUUUUAGCUUUAUUGUGCAAGUUAGAUUUGGCGGCAUGAUUCUGUUCCGGGUCCCUGCCCUUCCACGCGCUUGUGUGGAAGCCCGAGGCAGGAAGAGCCCCUUCCUGCCUUUCACGAGCCAUCAUGAAAGGCGAUAGCAGGGAGCGCACGCGAGGUUCUGUUCAGGGCCCCCGUUCUCCACGUUGGCAGGGGUGAAAGGCCAGCGGCAGGAAGAGCACCUUCCCGCCCUCCACGUGCCAUCAUGAAGGCGGAGGAGGCAGGGGUAGAGCAGCAAUGAACAGAACCCCCCAAAACAACCAUGCCGUGCAGUCUAGGAGCUAGCAGGGGAGGUGAGCGCUGCUGAAAGAAAGACGGGUUAGAGAGACCCGUUGCCCAAGCAUGGAUAUUUAUCUGCAGGUUGUUUAUAUAUUUCAUUUAAUUAGCAUCUAUGUGCCAAAGUUAUGGGUACUCAUAGUUUUUGGGCUUCGAGAAUGUCCCGAGCCUCGGGGCGCAGAUAGCAUUUGUACGCAGCUGACGACUAUUGGCCCAUGGCUUUGAGGGUCGACACAGGAGCCGUCAUAGCUGCGGUUGUAGCUGCACCUAUGUGAAAGGAAUGAGCCGUGUAGCGAUCUGAAGGAUGUGUGGAGGGCGAUCAGCUAAGCUGUCAUCUGACUGAGGGCUAGCUUAAGAUCAGCUGGCUUUAACCUUUAGCUUGACUGUACCUUGUGUCCUGCCUGAACUACAGCCAUGCUUAAUUUCAGUCAGGACUACUUUAGUUAGAAUCAAUUAUUUAUUACUAGCAAAAAAUUUUUUAACAUUGUCGGUAUGGCUGUGUUCUGAGAGUUCCCUGCUCUCUCAUGUGCUUGCAUAGAAUCCCAAGGCAAUGAGAGGGAAUGCCCUCCCCUCCCUUUCAUGUGCAUAUAUGAAAAGCCAAGGCAGAAAAAGCAGCAGCCAUACUGGCAACCCUCCCCAGCUUUCAUGAGCUACAUGAAGGCACCUACGGGGGAGGGAGGGCAGCCAGCAGCGAGAAACUAUGAAGCAACCUACCCACCUACAAAGCUUGCAUAGUAUUGGUUACCCUCACAACAUGAUCAUGGAUCAGGAUUAAUUUAAUCCAUACACAAAUUUAUAGUUGGGAAUAUGCGUAAUGCAAUAGAUAUGGGAAAGAAUUAAGGAGCAGCAGCAUUUUUUUUUUUUGUAGCUAAUCGAGCAUAGGAAUAUUCUAAUAAUAAUAAUAAUAUAUUAGCCUUGGGCCUGAGGUAUCAUUCAAAGGCUGAUCGGGACCAUUGACCCGUAGCCUUGAGCGUCGAGACGGGGACGAUGGAAGAUGCAGUUGUAGCUGUGCCUAUGCGUGGUGAAUGCGUAGAGUUGUACUCAGGUAGGAGCCAACAGGAUUGGCAGAGCAGGCAGAGGUGAGCAGAAAGCUGCAAUCUGGAUAUAGGUUUCCCUUCUUCAGUGGCAAAGAGAGACUCUUAGUGGCUGGCCAGUGGCCGGCCUCUCAGGCAGCGGGACAUGGAGGAUAAAGAACAAAGACAGAGUUAGUUUUGGAAAUAUUAGAAGAAGAAAAAAAGUGCGAGAUUCAAAACUGUGGACUAUUAAAGCACAUACAAUGGAUAUAUUUAGGGCGUUGGGGCUACAGAGAAGGUGGUACAAAAGAGGUAAAGUGAGACCAUGCAGAAUCGUAUAAACUUUAAUGCUGAUUUUGCUUAACCAGCUCUCAAGUAGCUGUCAACAGAGAGCACUAAGGAUUGCAAGGCUGCACUCAGACUAACACAGUCUGAAUGAAUGGCUUCACGAACAGCCGUUGGGAUGCUUUGCCAGUGCCUUCCCCGGCUCAAGGACAUUUGACAGAGUAGACAGCUUUGUUCUUUCCCGUUUUACCAGGUGGGUGCGUCAUGGGCAUGCUGAUUUCAGAUGCCCGUCCCUGGAGUAACUUGGCUUCUCCGAGUAGUAGGCUUAGAGAGGCUUGGGUGGUUGGCCUGUAGCCACAGUUUUAGGGCACCGAUUAGAGGUGUGGGCAGGGGUGGACAAGGUAGGAUAAGGUUCCUCCAGGUACUGUACCCGUAGACUUUGUACAAGAGGAGCACACCCAAGUUAAGCGAGUUGCUGACUCCGAUGCCACAGUAUCAUCAUCUGCUGUAUCUCUCUCUUAAACAUAAAAUUAUUAUUAUUAUUAUUAUUAUUAUUAUUAUUAUUAUUAUUAUUAUUAUUAUUAUUAUUUUCCUCUGCAUUUUGUCUUAUUUCUGCAUUAAGAUUGAAGCAGCUGACUCUUUAAAAGUUCCCUCCUUCCGCAAAAGGCGGAAGGUGGGCCCCUGCACCUAGGCAACCAGCGUCCAAUCAAAAGUGCGCACUGGUGCUCCCACUUGGAGUUUAUUUGUAAGCAAAUACCACUCACUCUCAAGCGGCAUGGUCCUAUUGGAUUACUUCGGUUAUAACGCAGAGUGCAGACUGAUGUGCAGCAACAGACUAAGCCUAGAUACAUGACAGGGGUGAAAACUUUAAACAGCUGAUUAUGUCUUCCCGAAAUGGCGUACUGCUGCGUAAUGGCUUACUUUCACCUCCAGGUGAGAGAAAGACCCGCAGAUUAAGCAGGAAAAAGCUUGAUGCUCGGUGAAUUGUUAACUGAUUAGAGCCAGGUCGACUACGGACUGAUCAAGUCUUUGGCUGAAUCUUUGAAUGUACUUAGCAGCUUUGCUGAAAAUGAUUUGUAAUGUUCCUAGAAUAAUGAUCCUCCCUAUGUCAUGGCUGAAUCAGAAAUAAUGGCGAGAUAUGUGUCCAGUUCAGUUCUGCGUGCUGAAAACACUUUACAUAUGACAUCUACAAAUACGCCGAAAGCUAUGAAUUCAGCCAAGGUCGGAGAUUUAAACAGCCGGGCAUCACGAUAUUUAAGCAUCACAGGCUCAUCUCCGCAAUCCACAAUGCGUCUAUCAUUGUAGUCUGAGCACAGCAAGACUAAUGUCAGUACCUGCAAGGAUUUGGCUCCGCGGAUUAGGUGUAAUUGCAGCCGCGACCAGGUCGCGUCGCGUCGCGUGGUGCUCUGGUGUGUUCACACUAGGUCCAAAGCUGCGGUCGCAGGACACGGCUGGUCGCUGCUGACCCGCUUCUCCUACCUUCCAUCUCCCUCCUUUUCUCCCUCAUAUAUACAUCCCGUAGCCAGUUCAAAUAUUUGAACUUUGGGAGCGACGAGACUUGGCGUCCUGCGACCUCGGCAACGCAACCUCGGCAACGCGACGCAGGUAGCCAGCAGUCGCCAAGUCGCGUCAGGUCGCGGCUGUCCAUAGACUUGCAUUGGGAGCCAUCGCCGACGUCACCGAAGUCGCGUUUGGUCUGAACACCCCUUAACGCUAAGCUUCAUAUUUGGGUAUUGGUUGACUUGAGUUUCUGUGUUUGUUGAACUUGAGUUUGUGACAUGUUUGAACUUGAAUUUGUGGUGUUUUUGAACUUGAGUUUGUGUGUUUGUUGAACUUGAGUUUGUGGCGUGUUUGAACUUGAGUUUGUGUUGUUUUUGAACUUGAGGUUUUGGCAAAUGUUAAACUUGAGAUUUGGGUGUUGGUUGAACUUGAGUUUGUGUCAUAUUUGAACUUGAUUUUUUUGCAAUUUUUGAACUUGAGUUUGUUGAACUUGAGGUUGUGGAAAUUGUUAAACUUGAGAAUUGGUAUUGAUUGAACUUGAGUUUGUGUGUUUGUUGAACUUCAGUUUGUCUCGUGUUUGAACUUGAGUUUCUGUUGUUUUUGAACUUGAGGUUGUGGCAAUUGUUAAACUUGAGAUUUGGGUGUUGGUUGAACUUGAGUUUGUGUCAUGUUUGAACUUGAGUUUGUGGUGUUUUUGAACUUGAGUAUGUGUGGUUUUUUAACUUAGUUUUGUGGCAAUUGUUAAACUUGAGAUUUGGGUGUUGGUUGAACUUGGGUUUGUGGUGUUUUUGAACUUGAGUUUGUGUCUUUGUUGAACUUGAGUUUGUGGCGUGUUUUAACUUGAGUUUCUGUUGUUUUUGAACUUGAGGUUGUGGCAAUUGUUGAACUUGAGAUUUGGGUGUUCGUUGAACUUGAGUUUGUGUCAUGUUUGAACUUGAGUUUGUGGUGUUUUUGAACUUGAGUUUGUGUGGUUUUUUAACUUAGUUUUGUGGCAAUUGUUAAACUUGAGAUUUGGGUGUUGGUUGAACUUGGGUUUGUGGUGUUUUUGAACUUGAGUUUGUGUCUUUGUUGAACUUGAGUUUGUGGCGUGUUUUAACUUGAGUUUCUGUUGUUUUUGAACUUGAAGUUGUGGAAAUUGUUGAACUUGAGAUUUGGGAUUUGGUUGAACUUGACUUUGUUUCAUGUUUGAACUUCAGUUUGGGGUGUUUUUGAACUUGAACUUGUGUGUUUUUUGAACUUGAGUUUGUGUUGUUAAGAACUUGAGUUUGUGGUGUUUUUGAACUUGAGUUUGUGUGUUUGUUGAACUUGAGGUUGUGGCAAUUGUUAAACUUGAUAUUUGGGUGUUGUUGAACUUCAAACUUUGAAAUUUGUUGAUCUUGAGUUUGUGGUGUUCGUUGAACUUCAGUUUCAGCAUUUUUUAACUUGAGUUUGUGGCAAUUUUUGAACUUGAGUUUGUUGAACUUGAGUUUUUGGCAAUUGUUAAAUGUGAGUUUAGGUCAUUUGUUGAACUUGAGUUUGUGGCAAUUGUUGAACUUGAGUCUGUAUUUUUCACUGAACUUUAGUUUGUAGCGUUUGUUGUACUUGAGUUUGUGGCGUUUGUUGUACUUGAGUUUGUGUCUUGUUUGAACUUGAGUUGGGGGUGUUUUUGAACUUUAGGUUACGGCAAUUGUUGAACUUGAGGAUUGUGUGUUUGUUGAACUUGAGUUUGUCUCGUGUUUGAACUUGAGUUUCUGUUGUUUUUGAACUUGAGGUUGUUGAAAUUGUUCAACUUGAGAUUUGGGUUUUGGUUGAACUUAAAACUUUUACAUUUGUUGAACUUGAGUUUGUGGCGUGUUUGAACUUGAGUUUCUGUUGUUUUUGAACUUGCGGUUUUGGAUAUUGUUUAAUUUGAGAUUUGAGUGUUGGUUGAACUUGACUUUGUCAUGUUUGAACUUGAGUUUGUGGUGUUUUUGAACUAGAUUUUGUGUGUUUUUUGAACUUAAGUUUUCUGUCAAUUGUUGAACUUGAGUUUAUGGUUUUUAGUGAACUUUACUUGGUGGCAGUUGUUGAACUUGAGUUUGUGGGAUUUGUUGAACUUGAGCAUGUGUCGUGUUUGAACUUGAGUUUGAGGGGUUUGUUGAACUUGAGCUUGUGUCGUGUUUGAACUUGAGUUUGUGGUGUUUUUGAACUUGAGUCUGUGUUGCUUUUGAACUUGAGGUUUUGGAAAUUGUUAAACUUGAGAAUUGGGUAUUGGCUGAACUUGAGUUUUUGAACUUGAGUUUGUGUCAUGUUUGAACUUGAGUUUGUUGUGUGUUUGAAUUUGAGUUUGUGUGUUUGUUGAACUUGAGGUUGUGGCAAUUGUUAAACUUGAGAUUUGGGUGUUGGUUGAACUUGAGUUUGUGUCGUUUCAGAACUUGAGUUUGUGUCGUUUCAGAACUUGCAUUCCUGUUAUUUGUUUAACUUGAAUUUGUGUGUUUUUUGAACUUGAGGUUCUGAAAAUUUUUAAACGUGAGAAUCAUGUGUUGGUUGAACUUGAGUUUGUGGUUUUUGUUGAACUUGAGGUUGUGUCGUGUUUGAACUUGAGUUUGUGGUUUUUUUGAACUUGAGUCUGUGUUGUUUUUGAACUUGAAGUUGUGGAAAUUGUUAAACUUGAGAAUUGGGUAUUGGUUGAACUUGAGUUUAUGGUUUUUUUUUACUUGAGUUUGUGUCGUGUUUUUAACUUGAGUUUGUGGUGUGUUUGAAUUUGAGUUUGUGUGUUUGUUGAACUUGAGGUUGUGGCAAUUGUUAAACUUGAGAUUUGGGUGUUGGUUAAACUUGAGAUUUGGGUGUUGGUUGAACUUGAGUUCGUGUUAUUUUUUUAACUUGAGUAUGUGUUUUUAUACUUGAGUUUGUGUCGUUUUUGAACUUGAGGUUGAGGUUUUUUUGAACUGUUUCUGUUGUUUUUGAACUUGAGGUUUUGGAAAUUGUUAAACUUGAGAAUCAGGUGUUGGUUGAACUUCAGUUAGUGUGUUUGUUGAACUUGAGUUUGUGUCGUGUUUGAACUUGAGUUCGUGUCGUGUUUGAACUUGAGUUUGUGGUGUUGUUGAACUUGGGUUUGUGGUGUUUUUGAACUUUAGGUUGUAGAAUUUGUUAAACUUGAGAUUUGGGUGUUGGUUGAACUUGAGUUUGUGUCGUGUUUGAACUUGCAUUUGUGUUGUUUGUUUAACAGUUUGUGUGUUUUUUGAACUUGAGGCUGUGAAAAUUUUCAAACUUGAAUAUCAGGUGUUGGUUGAACUUGAGUUUUUUGUUUUGUUGAACUUUAGUUUGUGUCUUGUUUUAACUUAUGUUUGUGGUUUUUUUUAACUUGAGGUUGUGAAAAUUGUUAAAUUUAAGAAUUGGGUAUUUGUUGAACUUGAGUUUUUGGUGUUUUUUAAAUUUAGUUUGUUUCGUGUUUGAACUUGAGUUUGUGGCAAUUUUUAAACUUAAUAUUGGAUAUUUAACCCUAACGCCAAAAACCUUAAACCUUACCAUAGCCCCAUAACCUAAUACCCAGGUAUUACCUUCAGGAAGCCCGAACACCCCAAAUAUUUUUUUUCAUUUUUAUUUUUUUUUAUCUAAAUAACUCCAAAAGGUCUGAAACAUGUUCCUAAAAAGGUUUUGGACACUGAUUUUAACCCUUACGCCAAAAAACUUAAACCUUACCCUAGCCCCAUAACCUAAUAACCUAAUAAUACCUUCAGGAAGCCCAAACACCCCAAAUAUAUAUAUAUAUUUUUUUUUCUCUUUUUUUGUCUAACUAACUCCAAAAGGUUGGAAAAGAGUUCCUAAAAAGGUUUUGGACACUGAUUUUAACCCUUACGCCAAAAAACUUAAACCUUACCCUAGCCCCAUAACCUAAUAACCUAAUAAUACCUUCAGGAAGCCCGAACACCCCAAAUAUUUUUUUUCAUUUUUCAUUUUUUUUUGUCUAACUAACACCAAAAGGUUGGAAAAGAGUUCCUACAUAGGUUUUGGACAGUGAUUUUAACCCUAACGCCAAAAACCUUAAACCUUACCCUAGCCCCAUAACCUAAUACCCAGGUAUUACCUUCAGGAAGCCCGAAAACCCCAAAUAUAUUUUUUUCAUUUUUUUUUUUUUUGGUCUAACUAACUCCAAAAGGUUGGAAAAGAGUUCCUACAAAGGUUUUGGACAGUGAUUUUAACCCUAAUGCCAAAAAACCUUAAACCUUACCAUAGCCCCAUAACCUAAUACCCGGGUAUUACCUUCAGGAAGCCCGAACACCCCAAACAUUUUUUUUUCAGUUUUCAUUUUCUUUUUGUCUAACUAACUCCAAAAGGUUGGAAAAGAGUUCCUACAAAGUUUUUGGACAGUGAUUUUAACCCUAACGCCAAAAACCUUAAACCUUACCAUAGCCCCAUAACCUAAUACCCAGGUAUUACCUUCAGGAAGCCCGAAAACCCCAAAUAUAUUUUUUUCAUUUUUCAUUUUUUUUGGUCUAACUAACUCCAAAAGGUUGGAAAAGAGUUCCUACAAAGGUUUUGGACAGUGAUUUUAACCCUAAUGCCAAAAUACCUUAAACCUUACCAUAGCCCCAUGACCUAAUACCCGGGUAUUACCUUCAGGAAGCCCGAACACCCCAAAUAUUUUUUUUUUCAUUGUACAAUUUUUUUUAGUGUAACCAACUCCAAAAGGUCUGAAACAUGUUCCUAAAAAGGUUUCGGACAGUGAUUUUAACCCUCACGCCAAAAACCUUAAACCUUACCCAAGCCCCAUAACCUUAUACCCGGGUAUUACCUUCAGGAAGCCCGAACACCCCAAAUAUUUUUUUUUCAUUGUACAAUUUUUUUUAGUGUAACCAACUCCAAAAGGUCUGAAACAUGUUCCUAAAAAGGUUUCGGACAGUGAUUUUAACCCUCACGCCAAAAACCUUAAACCUUACCCAAGCCCCAUAACCUAAUACCCGGGUAUUAACUUCAGGAAGCCUGAACACCCCAAAUAUUUUUUUUUCAUCUUUCAUUUUUUUUUGGUGAAACCAACUCCAAAAGGUCUGAAACAUGUUCCUAACAAGGUUUUGGACAGUGAUUUUAACCCCAACGCCAAAAAACUUAAACCUUACCCUAGCCCCAUACCCUAAUACCCGGGUAUUACCUUCAGGAAGCCCGUAAACCCUAAAUAUUUUUUUUUCAUUUUUCAUUUUUUUUGGUCUAACUAACUCCAAAAGUUUGGAAAAGAGUUCCUACAAAGGUUUUGGACACUGAUUUUAACCCUUAUGCCAAAAACCUUAAACCUUACCCUAGCCCCAUGACCUAAUACCCGGAUAUUACCUUCAGGAAGCCCGAAAACCCCAAACAGUUUUUUUUCAGUUUUCAUUUUCUUUUUGUCUAACUAACUCCAAAAGGUUGGAAAAGAGUUCCUACAAAGGUUUUGGACAGUGAUUUUAACCCUAACGCCAAAAACCUUAAAUCUUACCAUAGCCCCAUAACCUUAUACCCGGGUAUUACCUUCAGGAAGCCCGAACACCCCAAAUAUUUUUUUUUCAUUGUACAAUUUUUUUUAGUGUAACCAACUCCAAAAGGUCUGAAACAUGUUCCUAAAAAGGUUUCGGACAGUGAUUUUAACCCUCACGCCAAAAACCUUAAACCUUACCCAAGCCCCAUACCCUAAUACCCGAGUAUUACCUUCAGGAAGCCUAAACACCCCAAAUAUAUUUGUUUUAUUUUUCUUUUUUUUUGGUCUGACUAACUCCAAAAGGUUGGAAAAGAGUUCCAACAAAGGUUUUGGACACUGAUUUUAACCCUAACGCCAAUAACCUUAAACCUUACCAUAGCCCCAUAACCUAAUACCCAGGUAUUACCUUCAGGAAGCCCGAAAACCCCUAAUAUAUUUUUUUCAUUUUUCAUUUUUUUUGGUCUAACUAACUCCAAAAGGUUGGAAAAGAGUUCCUACAAAGGUUUUGGACAGUGAUUUUAACCCUAAUGCCAAAAACCUUAAACCUUACCAUAGCCCCAUGACCUAAUACCCGGAUAUUACCUUCAGGAAGCCCGAAAACCCCAAACAUUUUUUUUUCAGUUUUCAUUUUCUUUUUGUCUAACUAACUCCAAAAGGUUGGAAAAGAGUUCCUACAAAGGUUUUGGACAGUGAUUUUAACCCUAACGCCAAAAACCUUAAACCUUACCAUAGCCCCAUAACCUUAUACCCGGGUAUUACCUUCAGGAAGCCCAAACACCCCAAAUAUAUUUUUUUUCAUUUUACAUUUUUUUUGGUGUAACCAUCUCCAAAAGGUCUGAAACAUGUUCCCUAAAAAGGUUUUGGACAGUGAUUUUAACCCUUACGCCAAAAACCUUAAACCUUACCCUAGCCCCAUAACCUAAUGUUCGGGUAUUACCUUCAGGAAGCCCGAACACCCCAAAUAUUUUUUUUUCAUUUAUCUUUUUUUUUUUGUCUAACUAACUCCAAAAGGUCAGAAAAGAGUUCCUACAAAGGUUUUGGACAGUGAUUUUAACCCUAUCGCCAAAAACCUUAAACCUUACCCUAGCCCCAAAACCUAAUACCGGGUAUUACCUUCAGGAAGCCCGAACACCCCAAAUAUUUUUUUUUAAUUUUUUGUGGUCUAACUAACUCCAAAAGGUUGGAAAAGAGUUCCUACAAAGGUUUUGGACAGUCAUUUUAACCCUCGCGCCAAAAACCUUAAACCUUACCUUAGCCCCUAACCUAAUACCCGGGUAUUACCUUCAGGAAGCCCGAACACCCCAAAUAUAUUUUUUUUCAUUUUUCGUUUUUUUUUUUGGUCUAACUAACUCCAAAAGGAUGGUAAAGAGUUCCUACAAAGGUUUUGGACAGUGAUUUUAACCCUCACGCCAAAAACCUUAAACCUUACCUUAGCCCCUAACCUAAUACCCGGGUAUUACCUUCAGGAAGCCCGAACACCCCAAAUAUAUUUUUUUCAUUUAUCUUUUUUUUGGACUAACUAACUCCAAAAGGUCUGAAACAUGUUCCUAAAAAGGUUUUGGACAGUGAUUUUAACCCAUACGCCAAAAGCCUUAAACCUUACCCUAGCCCCAUAACCUAAUACCCGGGUAUUACCUUCAGGAAGCCCGAACACCCCAAAUAUUUUUUUUUCAUUUAUCUUUUUUUUUUUGUCUAACUAACUCCAAAAGGUUGGAAAAGACUUCCUACAAAGGUUUUGGACAGUGAUUUUAACCAUAUCGCCAAAAACCUUAAAAGUUACCCUAGCCCCAAAACCUAAUACCGGGUAUUACCUUCAGGAAGCCCGAACACCCCAAAUAUUUUUUUUUUAUUUUUUGUGGUCUAACUAACUCCAAAAGGUUGGAAAAGAGUUCCUACAAAGGUUUUGGACAGUGAUUUUAACCCUCGCGCCAAAAACCUUAAACCUUACCUUAGCCCCUAACCUAAUACCCGGGUAUUACCUUCAGGAAGCCCGAACACCCCAAAUAUAUUUUUUUCAUUUUUCGUUUUUUUUUUUGGUCUAACUAACUCCAAAAGGAUGGUAAAGAGUUCCUACAAAGGUUUUGGACAGUGAUUUUAACCCUAUCGCCAAAAACCUUACAAGUUACCCUAGCCCCAAAACCUAAUACCGGGUAUUACCUUCAGGAAGCCCGAACACCCCAAAUAUUUUUUUUUUAUUUUUUUUGGUCUAACUAACUCCAAAAGGUUGGAAAAGAGUUCCUACAAAGGUUUUGGACAGUGAUUUUAACCCUCGCGCCAAAAACCUUAAACCUUACCUUAGCCCCUAACCUAAUACCCGGGUAUUACCUUCAGGAAGCCCGAACACCCCAAAUAUAUUUUUUUCAUUUUUCGUUUUUUUUUUUGGUCUAACUAACUCCAAAAGGAUGGUAAAGAGUUCCUACAAAGGUUUUGGACAGUGAUUUUAACCCUCACGCCAAAAACCUUAAACCUUACCUUAGCCCCUAACCUAAUACCCGGGUAUUACCUUCAGGAAGCCCGAACACCCCAAAUAUAUUUUUUUCAUUUAUCUUUUUUUUUGGACUAACUAACUCCAAAAGGUCUGAAACAUGUUCCUAAAAAGGUUUUGGACAGUGAUUUUAACCCAUACGCCAAAAGCCUUAAACCUUACCCUAGCCCCAUAACCUAAUACCCGGGUAUUACCUUCAGGAAGCCCGAACACCCCAAAUAUUUUUUUUUCAUUUAUCUUUUUUUUUUUGUCUAACUAACUCCAAAAGGUUGGAAAAGACUUCCUACAAAGGUUUUGGACAGUGAUUUUAACCAUAUCGCCAAAAACCUUAAAAGUUACCCUAGCCCCAAAACCUAAUACCGGGUAUUACCUUCAGGAAGCCCGAACACCCCAAUUUUUUUUUUUCUUUUUUCUUUUUUUUCUGGUCUAGCUCCCUCCAAAAGGUUGGAAAAGAGUUCCUACAAAGGUUUUGGACAGUGAUUUUAACCCUAACGUCAAAAACCUUUAACCUUUUCCUAGCCCUGUAACAUAAUAUAUACAUAAAAUUGCUCAACAAACACAUAGUCUAAAAGAUAGACAGCAUAGCAUACCAACUGAGCUGAGUCAUUAAACUUUCUACCAACACAUAAUUUUUACACACAGAUUGAGCUCGGAGACUCGACUGGAACAUGUGACAGGUCGACAUGCGCCGGCCAGUGCAAGUCCUUGAUCAGCCUACCUCAAACCGCCAAGUCAACUGACGAAAGCGGGGGCUAUCACUCUAUCUCUUUCCCACACCUAACCAGCCACUUACCUUCGGACAGACUUGUCACAAUAUCAUUCCGAGAAUAGUCUGAGCCCAUGCUCCUUCUGUGCACACAAACCCCCCCCCCCCCCCUUUAUAGAGUCUAAGAUCUUCCAGUUUCAAGGGUGAGAGUGAAUUCCAAAGAAUCCUCCACCUUGGAACCUAUACUAACACUACAUUCCUCAGAAAACUAAACAAAAAACAUCUAAACCCUAACAGCAAUGACGAAAAGAUAAAUACUUUUCAAGACAAAUUAACUCCUGACCCCACCCUGCCUCCCUCCUUUUCUCCCUCUCUCCUGAUCUGUACCUCUCUCUCCUAUCAGAGGAUGAAAACCAGCAGGUGAGGAGAGUCUCAAUGGCGAGUCACGGUGGCAAGAUCUAUUCUCUUUCUAUCACUCGAAUCCCUGCAUGAGCAGAAUGGUGCCAGAUGGACCACCUGCUCCCACCACAAUCCUCUGUGACUUUUUGACUCUAUCCACUUUUAGAACUUAAAAUAGUAAUCAAUAAUCAACUGACCAACUCAGCUCAAACCAAACCCAAAACUCUGCCUAGAGAACUCUCACUUCCACGUUUACAUAUCUCUUUGUAUCUUGUGAGGACCGUGAGGAGAGCAGAGCCUAGACCUAGUCGGGUCGGGUGACUAUGUCCCUUGCUCACUCUCCUCACAUGGAUGGUGAGAGCUGGGGAGCUAUGGGAUGUUUCAUCCGCCACCAAAUCCCCCUCACCAAUCUUUAUUUUCCACCAUCUCCACCUCUCCCUUAAACCCCCCUCUCCCUCUUCCCUCUCUCUCUCUCUCUCUCUCUCUCCCCCCCCCCCCCUCUCUGUCUCUCUCUCUCUCCCUCAUCUCUCUCCCUCAUCUCUCCCCCUCUCUCUAACACCCCCCUCUUUCUUAUUCCCUCCCCUGCCCCUUUAUUUUCACCUUCACAGAUGACAAAUAGGUGAUCUUCAGCCUCGGCCUACCCCGGCCGGGGGUAACCCCUGUUGGGUCACCUAUAUUGAAGAUUAAGAGAGACCUGAAGGGGAACCGCCGUGCCACCUAAAUCCUCCCCCUCUAACAUCUUUUUUAACACUCUAAAAUUAGCCGCUAACCCCACUACAAACAACUUCAUCAAAAAUUUAAAUAAUAAAUACUUAUUGAUAACUGACCAUCAGUGACACCAGACUAAGCUAGUAAAAAAGAACACACAUACACGUGCAAAUUUUCCCUUAGGACAUUGAUCAAAUUUACAUUUCUGUCUGUCUUUUAGGGAACUGUUCUCUGUUUUUAAGCUCACUUCCGUUUUUUGCUAUUUGCUCUUGACACUUCUUUUUUUCCUUUUUUCUUCUCCUUUCCCUUUUGCAAUCCACUUUUGUUCUUCUUUUAUUUUUUAUUUUUUCAUUGUUUUAUAUUAUUUCAUUUUAUUUUAUUUUAUUUCAUUUUAGGGUUCCUGUGCUUUUGUUUGUCUUCCCCCUCCCCUCUUUUUUCUUAGGAAGGACUGACUCCUGAGGUUCUCAUGCCAGGAAAAAUGUACCUCCCUCACUCACGGUUUUACCCACAAUCCUUUGCUGCAACAGGGAGAUUGAUUCCCAAGGCUCUCAUGGCAGAAAGGAAGUACCUCACUCACUCACGGUUUUACCCACAAUCCUUUGCUGUAACAGGAAGAUUGAUUCCUUAGGCUCUCAUCCCUCAGAACUAAAAUACCCACAAUCCCUUACGAUUGCAUACAAAUUUAAUGUAGCAAAACUAAAUUUAAAAUAAAUAAACUACAUUAAAAUUAACUUAAAACAACUUGAAAGUUUAAAAUACAACCAAGAGACAUCCAUUCUGGAAUACAAACAUCGAGAAGAGAACACAACCAUGUCUGAGAGGAACAGCACGAACCAUGACUCGAGCCCAACUCUGGGGAUGUCUUCUCCUGUCAAAAGCACAUUUAAGUGCUGUGCACUAAAGAGCAAUUCCUGUUCCUGUAAUUGAGACAAAGCACUGACCACUGGACCAAGAAGACCGACCACCGCCUCGAGGAAGACGCCGCGCCGCCACCUGAAAGAAGACGCCGCACCUCCAUCACUCCAAGCCG
Molecule: long non-coding RNA, 14275 nt
Filed under: Xyrichtys novacula (pearly razorfish)
Lineage: Eukaryota; Metazoa; Chordata; Actinopteri; Labriformes; Labridae
Source: RNAcentral